CCUACGGGAGGCAGCAGUGAGGAAUAUUGGUCAAUGGCCGGAAGGCUGAACCAGCCAUGCCGCGUGUGGGUCAGUGCCCUAUGGGCGUUAAACUUCUUUUGUCCGGGAGCAAUAAUGUUCCCGUGUGGCCCGACGAGAGUACCGUACGCAUCAGCAUCGGCUCACUCCGUGCCAGCAGCCGCGGUCAUACGGGGGAAGCAAGCGUUAUCCGGAUUUGUUGGGUUUAAAGGGUGCGUAAGCGGGGAGGUCAGGCAGCGGGGAAAUGCCCCCGCUCAAAGGGGGGAAGUGCCAUUGAUACUGGCAGGCUGGAAUGCGGAUGCGGUGGGAGGAAUGUCAGGUGUAGCGGUGAAAUGCAUAGAGAUC
Molecule: ribosomal RNA, 363 nt
Filed under: uncultured bacterium
Lineage: Bacteria
Description: partial 16S ribosomal RNA
Rfam family: Bacterial small subunit ribosomal RNA
Source: RNAcentral